RNAcentral lists this ribosomal RNA (420 nucleotides) under uncultured bacterium. RNAcentral's name for it is "bacterial SSU rRNA". It matches the Rfam family "Bacterial small subunit ribosomal RNA", at positions 507 to 929 of the family's 1533-position model. The record is from RNAcentral.
GCCAGCAGCCGCGGUAAUACGGAGGGUGCAAGCGUUAUCCGGAUUCACUGGGUUUAAAGGGUACGUAGGCGGGCAGGUAAGUCAGUGGUGAAAUCCUGGAGCUUAACUCCAGAACUGCCAUUGAUACUAUCUGUCUUGAAUAUUGUGGAGGUAAGCGGAAUAUGUCAUGUAGCGGUGAAAUGCUUAGAUAUGACAUAGAACACCUAUUGCGAAGGCAGCUUACUACGCAUAUAUUGACGCUGAGGCACGAAAGCGUGGGGAUCAAACAGGAUUAGAUACCCUGGUAGUCCACGCCCUAAACGAUGGAUACUCGACAUACGCGAUACACUGUGUGUGUCUGAGCGAAAGCAUUAAGUAUCCCACCUGGGAAGUACGACCGCAAGGUUGAAACUCAAAGGAAUUGACGGGGGCCCGCACAAG